This is a long non-coding RNA of Pleuronectes platessa (European plaice), 1398 nucleotides long. RefSeq lists it as uncharacterized. The record is from RefSeq and is a predicted model, not a curated record. Lineage: Eukaryota; Metazoa; Chordata; Actinopteri; Pleuronectiformes; Pleuronectidae. The transcript is spliced from 4 exons.
AGUCUUUGUGUCUGAAGAGUUUUACAGUCGACUGAGUUUACAUAUGUAUGUGUUUAUAUUAAGGCUGUCAACGUUAACGCGUUAACGCGUGCGAUUAAUCCAGAAACCUUAACGCGUUAAUUGUUUUUUUAACGCAAAUUAAUCAUAUCACCAAGUCUGACCACAACAACCUGCCGUAGUCCUCCCGCGCGGAUGUUUACCUGCCUGUGGGUGAAGAAGUAGCGAAGUGAUGAGUGAGGAGAAGGACCCCGGUGUGCUUAACGGCAAAUUUAGAUUAAAAAAGCUUCUGAAUGGGAUUUUAGAUAACAUCAGAGUUGUGUGUACAUACUGCAGUGAUGCACUGUCUUUCCACCGUAGUACAACGACUCUGAAGUACCAUCUCCGUGCAAAGCACAUCUUUGCUAACACAGACGCUAACACCGAGACGAGUUCAAGCCGUGCUCGUCAAGCUACACUGGCGGAGUACAGCAGAGCCGGUGCUCUGUCAACAAGACGACAACAAAUAAGCUAACUAAUGCUAUCGCUAAAUGGGUCGCAACCGACUGCAGACCCAUCAACAUCGUUGAAGACAAGGGGCUUCGAGACAUUAUCCAGAUCGCCUCAGGGGACUCAUCCUACAAAACGCCUUCGAGGGGAACUAUUGUCACAAGAAUCCAUGAACUCUAUGGAAGUGAAAAGGAAACGAAAGUGGAGCAGCUGGCACGAGCUUCAUUUAUUGCACUGACAGGAGACCACUGGACAUCAGUGUCAGAUGUUUCUCAGGCCACUGCCCUGAGCCAGUCUCACUGUUGAUUUCACCCUGAGCUGUGUCUCCGUCUCCAGCUCCAAUCUGAUCGACUUCUCCACUGAAGAUGGGUCCAGUUGAUGAUGUCAUACUGCUGUGCUUUAAUUUAAUCUCCCAUGAGGAAAUCCAUCCCACAAUGGGAUGUUCACAUGGUGACAUGGGGCCAUGUACAACAAUCCCCGUUGUUGCAGGGAUGACCUCAGCGAGCGCUGCUGGAGCGAUGGCCUUUGUUCCUCCUUCUGUUCUUCUGUAUGGAAUGGUUGGAAGCCUGGUGAGCCACUGGUGGGGCAAGGAUGAAAUCAAGGAUGAAAUCAAGGAUGAAAUCAAGUUUGAAAUCAAGGAUGAAAUCAAGUUUGAAAACAAACUAUCUCAGAUCAUAAUUCGGCUCAGUGAUCUGGAGAAGCAAGAGCUUUAUAAUCAUAUCAUAAACGUCGAAGUCCUGAACAACAUACAGUGGACAGAUUUUGUCAACCUGUAUACUCAGGUGUAUUCUCAGCCCAGAGUGAAGCGGCAGAUUCUCGAAACUAUCAUACCGUUUCUAACAUACUGCCCAAAAGAUGUGAUCUGUUUGUAACCAGGCUUCAGGGACUUCAUUAAAGUAAAAUCCCAGUGCA